GCCACCAUCGCACCUUCACAAUCACGUCACCAAAACCGCCAACCUACCACAACCAUCAUCGCACCUUCACAACCACAUCACCAAAACCGCCCACCUACUACCACCGCCACUACCACAACCACCCACAUGUUUUGUUGUGUUUGGGAGUUUAUGUAGAGGAGUGAGAGAGAGGGGGUUCCAUGCUAACCAGAAAGCAGCGAUAAUGUGGAUGCUAAUGUGUUGUAGGGAUGAGCAUUUGGUACUGGGUACCGAUACCAAACUGGCACCGAAUUUCCCUUACCGAAUUUUUUCGUUAGCGAAUAUCAGUACUACUUUUUGGCAUUUUAGGUACCGGUACUUUCAGUACCAGUACCGGUAAAAUACCGAUUUUAACCUACAAAUACCGGUACCGUAUGGAACAUUUUUGGUACCAGUAUCGGUACCCAAUUUUGAUGAAUUUCGGUUACUGGUACUGGUACCGGUAGAUUCGGUAUGUUACCGGUACCACACUCAUCCCUUUGUGCUGUUGAUUCACUCUAGCAAGUUGUAACUUGUAAAAAAUGUUUGUGUUUUCACCAUGGUAUGUAUGUGGCAUGGAUUUUGAUAAUUUGUGGAUAAUCUGUUUUGAUAUUUUUAUUCAUCAUUAGGAAAUCAAAUAGUUAUAGUUGAAAACACAAGAAGGUUCCUCAUUCGACAAAGAUAUGUAUCUCUAUCAGAUUACCCACAUUGAAUUAUGUGUUAGAACUCUCAUUUCUUAAUAUGCGUUCACGUCUUCUGCAUGUUUCAAGGUUUUCUUGGUCAUAAAUACCAUAUUAAACUGUGUUUGGGUCCUUUGACCUGGUUGAAAUGUAUUUUGAUCAUAAAGACCAAUUUAAAAAGUAUCUGGGUCCUUUAACCUGUUUCGAGUGUGUUUUGUUCAUAAAGACCAUAUUAAAGUGUGUUCGGUCCUUUUGGCCCAUUUCAAGGGUGUUUUAGCUAUAAAGAACUAUUUAUUGUGUGUUUGGGUCUUUUGACCCAUUUCAAAUGUGUUUUGGUCAUAAAUACCAAUUUAAAGUGUGUUCGGGUCCUUUAACCCAUUUCAAGUGGUUUUGGUCAUAAUUACCAAUAUAAAGUGUCUCUAUAAGGUAAUUUAUCUAUUUAAAGCUGUCAAAACAUGGGGUAAAACAUAUAUGUGUUAUCGGUGAUUAUAAAGUGUUGAUUUACAUGUUUUAAGAUGUCAAAAUAAGUGGUAAAUGAUUGAAAUACAGGUGAUUUUUUUAUGACUACAAAGUGUUGAUUUGCAUGGUGUGUUCACAUUUGAUAUUUAAAUUUUAAUCCUUUAUUUUUGCAGAAUGUUUACUUUGAUGAUGAAUCAGGGAAGUUGUCAUGUCAUCCCUGAGGUUGGGUAGUGACUUAGGAUGGACAUCUUCCGAGAAAGCUGCUCGUGAGGCGAAUGAUGCACUCGCUAAGCCGGUUUCGCAUAAGCGGAGCGUUAGUCUUCGCAAGUCAGACCUAUAGUGAUGGUCGUAGCCAGAAGUUCUAGAUGGCUUGAGAAACAAUAAAUGUUGUUUGUCAGGGGACACCUUAAUCCUUAAUAAAAGUAAAUAAAAAUAUAACAUUUUAUACUUCUAUACAUUUUAACUGUAUUUUCACUUUGUCAAUAAGUAAUUUAUGUAAUAAAUAAUCACUUUGUUGUA
Helianthus annuus (common sunflower) is the source of this 1655-nucleotide long non-coding RNA. RefSeq lists it as uncharacterized. The transcript has 3 exons. Lineage: Eukaryota; Viridiplantae; Streptophyta; Magnoliopsida; Asterales; Asteraceae. The record is from RefSeq and is a predicted model, not a curated record.